RNAcentral lists this ribosomal RNA (1372 nucleotides) under uncultured bacterium. RNAcentral describes it as "bacterial SSU rRNA". It matches the Rfam family "Bacterial small subunit ribosomal RNA", at positions 28 to 1381 of the family's 1533-position model. The record is from RNAcentral.
GAUGAACGCUGGCGGCGUGCCUAAUACAUGCAAGUCGAGCGAACGGACGAGAAGCUUGCUUCUCUGAUGUUAGCGGCGGACGGGUGAGUAACACGUGGAUAACCUACCUAUAAGACUGGGAUAACUUCGGGAAACCGGAGCUAAUACCGGAUAAUAUUUUGAACCGCAUGGUUCAAAAGUGAAAGACGGUCUUGCUGUCACUUAUAGAUGGAUCCGCGCUGCAUUAGCUAGUUGGUAAGGUAACGGCUUACCAAGGCAACGAUGCAUAGCCGACCUGAGAGGGUGAUCGGCCACACUGGAACUGAGACACGGUCCAGACUCCUACGGGAGGCAGCAGUAGGGAAUCUUCCGCAAUGGGCGAAAGCCUGACGGAGCAACGCCGCGUGAGUGAUGAAGGUCUUCGGAUCGUAAAACUCUGUUAUUAGGGAAGAACAUAUGUGUAAGUAACUGUGCACAUCUUGACGGUACCUAAUCAGAAAGCCACGGCUAACUACGUGCCAGCAGCCGCGGUAAUACGUAGGUGGCAAGCGUUAUCCGGAAUUAUUGGGCGUAAAGCGCGCGUAGGCGGUUUUUUAAGUCUGAUGUGAAAGCCCACGGCUCAACCGUGGAGGGUCAUUGGAAACUGGAAAACUUGAGUGCAGAAGAGGAAAGUGGAAUUCCAUGUGUAGCGGUGAAAUGCGCAGAGAUAUGGAGGAACACCAGUGGCGAAGGCGACUUUCUGGUCUGUAACUGACGCUGAUGUGCGAAAGCGCGGGGAUCAAACAGGAUUAGAUACCCUGGUAGUCCACGCCGUAAACGAUGAGUGCUAAGUGUUAGGGGGUUUCCGCCCCUUAGUGCUGCAGCUAACGCAUUAAGCACUCCGCCUGGGGAGUACGACCGCAAGGUUGAAACUCAAAGGAAUUGACGGGGACCCGCACAAGCGGUGGAGCAUGUGGUUUAAUUCGAAGCAACGCGAAGAACCUUACCAAAUCUUGACAUCCUUUGACAACUCUAGAGAUAGAGCUUUCCCCUUCGGGGGACAAAGUGACAGGUGGUGCAUGGUUGUCGUCAGCUCGUGUCGUGAGAUGUUGGGUUAAGUCCCGCAACGAGCGCAACCCUUAAGCUUAGUUGCCAUCAUUAAGUUGGGCACUCUAAGUUGACUGCCGGUGACAAACCGGAGGAAGGUGGGGAUGACGUCAAAUCAUCAUGCCCCUUAUGAUUUGGGCUACACACGUGCUACAAUGGACAAUACAAGGGGCAGCGAAACCGCGAGGUCAAGCAAAUCCCAUAAAGUUGUUCUCAGUUCGGAUUGUAGUCUGCAACUCGACUACAUGAAGCUGGAAUCGCUAGUAAUCGUAGAUCAGCAUGCUACGGUGAAUACGUUCCCGGGUCU